GCUAAGCCCUGAACAUUGAAAGUCACAAAUACAAUACUUUCCGCCAGAGAACUACAAGUGAAAAACUUAAAACUCAAAGGACUUGACGGUGUCCCAUAUCGACCUAGAGGAGCCUGUCCUAUAAUCGAUACCCCCCGCUCCACCCAACCUCAACUAGCAAAAAUCAGCCUAUAUACCGCCGUCGACAGUUUACCCUAUGAAGGCCCAACAGUAAACACAAUAACCCUAUAACGCUAAUACGUCAGGUCAAGGUGUAGCAAAUGCUGAGGAAGAGAUUGGCUACAUUUUUUAUAAUAAAAAACACGAAUUGCACUAUGAAAUACUGCAUGAAGGUGAAUUUAGUAGUAAAACAGAUAAGAGGUC
RNAcentral lists this ribosomal RNA (363 nucleotides) under Podarcis melisellensis. Its description in RNAcentral is "partial 12S ribosomal RNA". It matches the Rfam family "Bacterial small subunit ribosomal RNA", at positions 794 to 1357 of the family's 1533-position model. Lineage: Eukaryota; Metazoa; Chordata; Lepidosauria; Squamata; Lacertidae. The record is from RNAcentral.